CGGACGGGUGAGUAAUGUCUGGGAAACUGCCCGAUGGAGGGGGGUAACUACUGGAAACGGUAGCUAAUACCGCAUAACGUCGCAAGACCAAAGAGGGGGACCUUAGGGCCUCUUGCCAUCGGAUGUGCCCAGAUGGGAUUAGCUAGUAGGUGGGGUAAUGGCUCACCUAGGCGACGAUCCCUAGCUGGUCUGAGAGGAUGACCAGCCACACUGGAACUGAGACACGGUCCAG
Molecule: ribosomal RNA, 232 nt
Filed under: uncultured bacterium
Lineage: Bacteria
Description: partial 16S ribosomal RNA
Rfam family: Bacterial small subunit ribosomal RNA
Source: RNAcentral